CGGCCGCCUGAGGAGGAGGCGCUGCACCCCGGGCCACGCCGAUGACUACUGCAAACUGUGGCGCCCACGACGAGCUCGACUUUAAACUCGUCUUCGGCGAGGACGGGGCACCAACGCCGGUGUCCCAGGUCUCGCGGCCUGCAGAUCUUGAACCAGAUGAUUGUGCAUCCAUUUACAUCUUUAAUGUAGACCCGCCUCCAUCUACUUUAAAUUCAUCACUUGGCUUACCACAUCAUGGACUGCUGCAGUCUCACUCUUCUGUUUUGUCACCAUCAUUUCAGCUCCAAGGUUUCAAAAAUUAUGAAGGAACUGAUGAUAUUUCUGAAUCUAAAUAUAGCUCAUUAAGUGGUCCUAAACCCUUUGAAUGCCCAAGUAUUCAAAUUACAUCCAUCUCUCCUAACUGUCAUCAAGAAACAGAUGCUCAUGAAGAUGACCUACAUGUAAAUGACCCAGAAAGGGAAUAUUUGGAAAGGCCUUCUAGAGAUCAUCUCUAUCUCCCACUUGAACCGUCCUACCGGGAAUCUUCCCUUAGUCCUAGUCCUGCCAGCAGCGUUUCUUCUAGGAGUUGGUUCUCAGAUGCAUCUUCUUGUGAGUCUCUCUCACACAUUUAUGACGAUGUGGACUCAGAGUUGAAUGAAGCUGCUGCACGAUUUACUCUUGGCUCACCUCUGACUUCUCCAGGUGGCUCUCCAGGAGGUUGCCCUGGAGAAGAGUCCUGGCAUCAACAGUAUGGACCUGGACAUUCCUUGUCACCUAGGCAAUCUCCUUGCCACUCUCCUAGAUCCAGUAUCACUGAUGAGAAUUGGCUGAGCCCCAGACCAGCCUCAGGACCCUCAUCCAGGCCCACUUCUCCUUGUGGUAAACGACGGCACUCCAGUGCUGAAGUAUGUUAUGCUGGCUCUCUUUCACCCCAUCACUCACCUGUUCCGUCCCCUGGUCACUCGCCUAGAGGGAGUGUAACUGAAGAUACCUGGCUCACUGCUCCUGUCCACACUGGAUCAGGCCUCAGCCCUGCACCGUUUCCAUUUCAGUACUGUGUAGAGACUGACAUCCCUUUGAAAACAAGGAAGACUUCUGACGAUCAAGCUGCCAUACUACCAGGAAAAUUAGAGGUCUGUUCAGAUGAUCAAGGGAGCUUAUCCCCAUCCCGGGAGACAUCAGUAGAUGAUGGCCUUGGAUCUCAGUAUCCUUUAAAGAAAGAUUCAUCUGGUGACCAAUUUCUUUCAGUUCCUUCACCUUUUACCUGGAGCAAACCAAAGCCUGGCCACACUCCUAUAUUUCGCACAUCUUCAUUACCUCCAUUAGACUGGCCUUUACCAACUCACUUUGGACAAUGUGAAUUGAAAAUAGAAGUGCAACCUAAAACUCACCAUAGAGCCCAUUAUGAAACUGAAGGUAGCCGAGGGGCAGUGAAAGCCUCUACUGGUGGCCAUCCUGUUGUGAAGGUAUGAGACUUGGGAGCUUUUCCCUAUAAAUAUAUACAUGUUAAUGAUUGAAUAAGUAUAUUGAUUUAGCUAAAAGAAAUAAGACUCAAAUUUGGAGAGCCUCU
Molecule: long non-coding RNA, 1549 nt
Filed under: Rattus norvegicus (Norway rat)
Lineage: Eukaryota; Metazoa; Chordata; Mammalia; Rodentia; Muridae
Description: long non-coding RNA NONRATT014226
Source: RNAcentral